Molecule: ribosomal RNA, 466 nt
Filed under: uncultured bacterium
Lineage: Bacteria
Description: partial 16S ribosomal RNA
Rfam family: Bacterial small subunit ribosomal RNA
Source: RNAcentral
GACGAACGCUGGCGGCGUGCUUAACACAUGCAAGUCGUGCGGUAAGGCCCUUUCGGGGUUACACGACCGGCGAACGGGUGGGGAAACGUGAAGAAACCGUCCCUUCCCUUUGGGUUAACUGCCGGAAAGGGGGGCUAAUUCCGGAAAUACCUCCCUCACCCAUGGGGGGGGGGGGAAGGCCUUCGGGUGGUGGGGGAUGGGCUCGCGGCCUAUCAGGUUUUGGGUGGGGUGAUGGCCUACCAAGGCUUCGACGGGUAGCCGGCCUUAGAGGGUGACCGGCCACCCUGGGCCUGAGACACGGCCCAGACUCCUACGGGAGGCAGCAGUGGGGAAUAUUGGACAAUGGGCGCGCGCCUGAUCCAGCAACGCCGCGUGAGUGAUGACGGCCUUCGGGUUGUAAACCUCUUUCGCCUGCGACGAAGCGAGAGUGACGGUAGCAGGUAAAGAAGCACCGGCCAACUACGUG